Molecule: ribosomal RNA, 487 nt
Filed under: Leuconostoc mesenteroides
Lineage: Bacteria; Bacillati; Bacillota; Bacilli; Lactobacillales; Lactobacillaceae
Description: bacterial SSU rRNA
Rfam family: Bacterial small subunit ribosomal RNA
Source: RNAcentral
UGCCUAAUACAUGCAAGUCGAACGCACAGCGAAAGGUGCUUGCACCUUUCAAGUGAGUGGCGAACGGGUGAGUAACACGUGGACAACCUGCCUCAAGGCUGGGGAUAACAUUUGGAAACAGAUGCUAAUACCGAAUAAAACUUAGUGUCGCAUGACACAAAGUUAAAAGGCGCUUCGGCGUCACCUAGAGAUGGAUCCGCGGUGCAUUAGUUAGUUGGUGGGGUAAAGGCCUACCAAGACAAUGAUGCAUAGCCGAGUUGAGAGACUGAUCGGCCACAUUGGGACUGAGACACGGCCCAAACUCCUACGGGAGGCUGCAGUAGGGAAUCUUCCACAAUGGGCGAAAGCCUGAUGGAGCAACGCCGCGUGUGUGAUGAAGGCUUUCGGGUCGUAAAGCACUGUUGUAUGGGAAGAACAGCUAGAAUAGGAAAUGAUUUUAGUUUGACGGUACCAUACCAGAAAGGGACGGCUAAAUACGUGCCAGCAG